RNAcentral lists this ribosomal RNA (1388 nucleotides) under bacterium NLAE-zl-G177. RNAcentral's name for it is "bacterial SSU rRNA". It matches the Rfam family "Bacterial small subunit ribosomal RNA". The record is from RNAcentral.
AAGCUUACCAUGCAGUCUCUUGAUCCUUCGGGUGAAGGUGGCGGACGGGUGAGUAACGCGUAAAGAACUUGCCUUACAGACUGGGACAACAUUUGGAAACGAAUGCUAAUACCGGAUAUUAUGACUGAGUCGCAUGAUUUGGUUAUGAAAGCUAUAUGCGCUGUGAGAGAGCUUUGCGUCCCAUUAGUUAGUUGGUGAGGUAACGGCUCACCAAGACGAUGAUGGGUAGCCGGCCUGAGAGGGUGAACGGCCACAAGGGGACUGAGACACGGCCCUUACUCCUACGGGAGGCAGCAGUGGGGAAUAUUGGACAAUGGACCAAAAGUCUGAUCCAGCAAUUCUGUGUGCACGAUGAAGUUUUUCGGAAUGUAAAGUGCUUUCAGUUGGGAAGAAGUCAGUGACGGUACCAACAGAAGAAGCGACGGCUAAAUACGUGCCAGCAGCCGCGGUAAUACGUAUGUCGCAAGCGUUAUCCGGAUUUAUUGGGCGUAAAGCGCGUCUAGGCGGUUUAGUAAGUCUGAUGUGAAAAUGCGGGGGCUCAACCCCGUAUUGCGUUGGAAACUGCUAAACUAGAGUACUGGAGAGGUAGGCGGAACUACAAGUGUAGAGGUGAAAUUCGUAGAUAUUUGUAGGAAUGCCGAUGGGGAAGCCAGCCUACUGGACAGAUACUGACGCUAAAGCGCGAAAGCGUGGGUAGCAAACAGGAUUAGAUACCCUGGUAGUCCACGCCGUAAACGAUGAUUACUAGGUGUUGGGGGUCGAACCUCAGCGCCCAAGCUAACGCGAUAAGUAAUCCGCCUGGGGAGUACGUACGCAAGUAUGAAACUCAAAGGAAUUGACGGGGACCCGCACAAGCGGUGGAGCAUGUGGUUUUAAUUCGACGCAACGCGAGGAACCUUACCAGCGUUUGACAUCCCAAGAAGUUAAACAGAGAUGUUUUCGUGCCUCUUUCGGAGGAACUUGGUGACAGGUGGUGCAUGGCUGUCGUCAGCUCGUGUCGUGAGAUGUUGGGUUAAGUCCCCCAACGAGCGCAACCCCUUUCGUAUGUUACCAUCAUUAAGUUGGGGACUCAUGCGAGACUGCCUGCGAUGAGCAGGAGGAAGGUGGGGAUGACGUCAAGUCAUCAUGCCCCUUAUACGCUGGGCUACACACGUGCUACAAUGGGUAGUACAGAGAGCUGCAAACCUGCGAGGGUAAGCUAAUCUCAUAAAACUAUUCUUAGUUCGGAUUGUACUCUGCAACUCGAGUACAUGAAGUUGGAAUCGCUAGUAAUCGCAAAUCAGCUAUGUUGCGGUGAAUACGUUCUCGGGUCUUGUACACACCGCCCGUCACACCACGAGAGUUGGUUGCACCUGAAGUAAACAGGCCUAACCGUAAGGAAGGGAUGU